GAUGAACGCUGGCGGCGUGCCUAAUACAUGCAAGUCGAGCGAACGGACGAGAAGCUUGCUUCUCUGAUGUUAGCGGCGGACGGGUGAGUAACACGUGGAUAACCUACCUAUAAGACUGGGAUAACUUCGGGAAACCGGAGCUAAUACCGGAUGAUAUUUUGAACCGCAUGGUUCAAAAGUGAAAGACGGUCUUGCUGUCACUUAUAGAUGGAUCCGCGCUGCAUUAGCUAGUUGUUAAGGUAACGGCUUACCAAGGCAACGAUGCAUAGCCGACCUGAGAGGGAGAUCGGCCACACUGGAACUGAGACACGGUCCAGACUACUACGGGAGGCAGCAGUAGGGAAUCUUCCGCAAUGGGCGAAAGCCUGACGGAGCAACGCCGCGUGAGUGAUGAAGGUCUUCGGAUCGUAAAACUCUGUUAUUAGGGAAGAACAUAUGUGUAAGUAACUGUGCACAUCUUGACGGUGCCUAAUCAGAAAGCCACGGCUAACUACGUG
RNAcentral lists this ribosomal RNA (497 nucleotides) under uncultured bacterium. RNAcentral describes it as "partial 16S ribosomal RNA". It matches the Rfam family "Bacterial small subunit ribosomal RNA", at positions 28 to 507 of the family's 1533-position model. The record is from RNAcentral.